RNAcentral lists this signal recognition particle RNA (99 nucleotides) under Puniceicoccales bacterium. RNAcentral describes it as "signal recognition particle sRNA small type". It matches the Rfam family "Bacterial small signal recognition particle RNA". From Rfam's summary of the family: The signal recognition particle (SRP) is a universally conserved ribonucleoprotein involved in the co-translational targeting of proteins to membranes. Archaeal SRP consists of a 7S RNA and homologues of the eukaryotic SRP19 and SRP54 proteins. Lineage: Bacteria; Pseudomonadati; Verrucomicrobiota; Opitutia; Puniceicoccales. The record is from RNAcentral.
GGUUAGGCCCUAUGCGAUGGUACGUCCGUGAACUCCGCCAGGUCUGGAAGGAAGCAACGGUAGCGAGAUUGUCCAGGUGCCAUAGGUCACCUAACCUCC